UACGAAGGGGGCUAGCGUUGCUCGGAAUCACUGGGCGUAAAGGGUGCGUAGGCGGGUCUUUAAGUCAGGGGUGAAAUCCUGGAGGUCAACUCCAGAACUGCCUUUGAUACUGAAGAUCUUGAGUUCGGGAGAGGUGAGUGGAACUGCGAGUGUAGAGGUGAAAUUCGUAGAUAUUCGCAAGAACACCAGUGGCGAAGGCGGCUCACUGGCCCGAUACUGACGCUGAGGCACGAAAGCGUGGGGAGCAAACAGG
RNAcentral lists this ribosomal RNA (253 nucleotides) under uncultured bacterium. Its description in RNAcentral is "partial 16S ribosomal RNA". It matches the Rfam family "Bacterial small subunit ribosomal RNA", at positions 524 to 776 of the family's 1533-position model. The record is from RNAcentral.